This 468-nucleotide ribosomal RNA is filed under the name uncultured bacterium. Its description in RNAcentral is "partial 16S ribosomal RNA". It matches the Rfam family "Bacterial small subunit ribosomal RNA", at positions 28 to 507 of the family's 1533-position model. The record is from RNAcentral.
GACGAACGCUGGCGGCGUGCUUAACACGUGCAAGUCGAACGGAAAGGCCCUGCUUUUGUGGGGUGCUCGAGUGGCGAACGGGUGAGUAACACGUGAGUAACCUGCCCUUGACUUUGGGAUAACUUCAGGAAACUGGGGCUAAUACCGGAUAGGAGCUCCUGCUGCAUGGUGGGGGUUGGAAAGUUUCGGCGGUUGGGGAUGGACUCGCGGCUUAUCAGCUUGUUGGUGGGGUAGUGGCUUACCAAGGCUUUGACGGGUAGCCGGCCUGAGAGGGUGACCGGCCACAUUGGGACUGAGAUACGGCCCAGACUCCUACGGGAGGCAGCAGUGGGGAAUAUGGCACAAUGGGCGGAAGCCUGAUGCAGCAACGCCGCGUGCGGGAUGACGGCCUUCGGGUUGUAAACCGCUUUCGCCUGUGACGAAGCGUGAGUGACGGUAAUGGGUAAAGAAGCACCGGCUAACUACGUG